RNAcentral lists this long non-coding RNA (989 nucleotides) under Prunus dulcis (almond). RNAcentral's name for it is "sRNA ncRNA". Lineage: Eukaryota; Viridiplantae; Streptophyta; Magnoliopsida; Rosales; Rosaceae. The record is from RNAcentral.
CAGAGGCACACAUAAACAGAGAGACCCAUGCACUUCACUUCUCUCUAUAAAAUCUCUUUCUUUCUAAUUGGGUUUGUUGAGCUGAGGCAUGGUUGCUGGCCAAAUCUGGAAUAGCUAUUUCAUGGUUGUCUACCAUUUGAAGGAAAUCUUCUUCUUUGGGCAGAGCCCUUCCCGUCCACCAGCUGUACCAGUCUCUAGCUCAACACACGGUGCUUUGUUUAAGGAGGUUAGUCGGUAAAACCCAUUUGAUCAGUGACAGUGGAAGAGGCUUCAAAUUAGAGGUGUGUGCUUGAUGGAUUUCGUUUUCAGAAAUAAAUUCUCUGCUCUUGUUUUUGUGAAAAAACUUGGUUUUUAUGCUUUGACUGAUCUGUUUAUGUCACCAAUGUUAGCUGUAAGUUUGGUUUGUGUCACCAAUUUAAUGGGCUUUGCAUCAUCUCUCACAAACUACACUCUGUUUUUCUCAGACCAGUGGUGAUAUAUUGCUUUGGUGGGAGAACAGAGAAGUCAGAAAAAUUAAUUGACAAUUGAGUAGAAAAAUUAAUUAACAAUUGAGUAAAAAAAUUAAGAAUAACAACGCUGGAAAUACCUCAGCAAAUCUGUAAGAUUUAAUCCCCUUCCUGAUAGAACCCAAGGGAGCUGGAAAGUGAGCACUUUGGAAGAGCAGAGGAAGAUGAGAAGAAUGGAAACGAAGAAGGCAAGCAAUUUGGUGGGAAAAAAGGUGGUUCUGUAAAACAGUGGAACCCUCCAGAUUUAAACAGUGAAGAACCAACAGCUCUCCCAUUUUACCCCUGUAGCUCUCCAACCAGCUAGUUGAAAUCCAACCAGACACCUCUCAACCCUAAACAACAGCUAGUUACAUCCCAAGGAAAGAGAGGGCAAAACGGGAAAAAUACAGAACAAUCAGUCAAGGGCAAAAUGGCAAUUUUACUGUUCAAAAGGAAAGGAAAAGCUGGCUGUACAGUUUUAAAUAGAGGCAUUUUCGUAAUUUU